RNAcentral lists this ribosomal RNA (417 nucleotides) under uncultured bacterium. RNAcentral describes it as "bacterial SSU rRNA". It matches the Rfam family "Bacterial small subunit ribosomal RNA", at positions 355 to 765 of the family's 1533-position model. The record is from RNAcentral.
CCGAGAAUUUUUCACAAUGGGCGCAAGCCUGAUGGAGCGACGCCGCGUGGGGGAUGAAUGGCUUCGGCCCGUAAACCCCUGUCAUUUGCGAUCAACCGUUAUUAUUUAAAAGAUGAUAACCUGAUAGUAGCGAAAGAGGAAGGGACGGCUAACUCUGUGCCAGCAGCCGCGGUAAUACAGAGGUCCCAAGCGUUGUUCGGAUUUACUGGGCGUAAAGGGUGCGUAGGUGGCGGUGUAAGUCGGAUGUGAAAUCUCCGAGCUCAACUCGGAAACUGCAUUGGAAACUACAUUGCUCGAGGGUUGGAGGGGGGACUGGAAUACUUGGUGUAGCAGUGAAAUGCGUAGAUAUCAAGUGGAACACCAGUGGCGAAGGCGAGUCCCUGGACAACUCCUGACACUGAGGCACGAAAGCUAGGG